UCGUACCCAUUCACAUGAGUUUAAAACAUGAGACAUUGCGACUGCAAUUGUAUUUUCAUUUCUACUUUGCAUUUCAAUAUUUUGAGCAUUUGCGCUUCCCGUACUCCAGUCAGAACUAGUCUGCUGGAGAUUUGGGUAUGCAGUCGUCAUCGUCUAAUCUCAGUGGAUUCUUUGUUUUAUUUGUGAAUGCAGAGAAAUAAAAACAGUGAGAAGAGUUCGUGUGGAGUCAUACAUUAUCAUCACAAUUAACACCUGCACUAGAGAGGGUCGUUACACCUACUGCAUGUCAGAAGUAUGCUUCACGGUUUUUGUUUCCGUACAAUAUGGGCACAUUCCUGUCUCAUGUUUCAUGAACCUGUACUUCUAGUUCUGCUUUAAGUGCUUCUUUUGCCAACUUGUCUGCCUUCUCAUUGCCCUCAAUAGGCUACCUGUGUGCGCUGGAACCCAAGUGAACUGUAAUUAUAGAUUCUGUUGAGAUAUCCUGAAAAUCAUCUGAUGAACUUCAUCUAAAAGAUCCUGUCUGCAUGCAGAUUUCCAGAUUUGGAUGCUAUAGGAAGAGAGUCUGAACAGAAAACAGAUUUAUAUGGCUUCACUUCUUCAAACCCAGUAUUAUGACAUUUAGGAAUGUAUACAGCCACAACUGUUUUACCUGCUGUUUUUUUGGAUGCAUCUGUAAAUAUUUGUACUGUGUCAUCAUACUGUACACUUUGAUACA
Molecule: long non-coding RNA, 715 nt
Organism: Alosa sapidissima (American shad)
Lineage: Eukaryota; Metazoa; Chordata; Actinopteri; Clupeiformes; Clupeidae
Exons: 3
Source: RefSeq, a predicted model, not a curated record